Molecule: transfer-messenger RNA, 351 nt
Filed under: Verrucomicrobiota bacterium
Lineage: Bacteria; Pseudomonadati; Verrucomicrobiota
Rfam family: transfer-messenger RNA
About the family: Bacterial tmRNA, also known as 10Sa RNA or SsrA, is named for its dual tRNA and mRNA-like properties. Its role is to liberate the mRNA from a stalled ribosome. To accomplish this part of the tmRNA is used as a reading frame that ends in a translation stop signal.
Source: RNAcentral
GGGGGCGUACUGGUUUCGACUUGGGAGAUACGCCAGAGGCGGCAUGCCGAGGAUGGUUCGUUGGCCUCGUUAAUCACUCGAACCAAAAAUAACUGCUAACGAAGAAUUAGCCCUCGCGGCCUAAGGCCACGACGUUCACCAUCGCACACCUGCUCAGAUGGAGGAACGCUGCAGCAGGUUAGAUUGACGGCGGAGACCGCGCGUCGUUGGUCGAAAUAUUUCAUGCGGACUAGGCAGUGCGAAUCGUGUCAGAUCGUAAUCGCAUAGCAGAAAACUCUCUUCUGACUAAGCAUGUAGUCGCGGCUGGUAGAUUUGCCAGGGACGCGGGUUCAACUCCCGCCGCCUCCACCA